Molecule: unclassified non-coding RNA, 363 nt
Filed under: uncultured Helotiales
Lineage: Eukaryota; Fungi; Ascomycota; Leotiomycetes; Helotiales
Description: sequence contains ITS2
Rfam family: 5.8S ribosomal RNA (bases 1-154)
Source: RNAcentral
AACUUACUGCAACGGAUCUCGUGGUUCUGGCAUCGAUUAAGAACGCAGCGAAAUGCGAUAAGUAAUGUGAAUUGCAGAAUACAGUGAAUCAUCGAAUCUUUGAACGCACAUUGCGCCCCUUGGCAUUCCGAGGGGCAUGCCUGUUCGAGCGUCAUUUAAACCAAUCCAGCGUGCUGGGUCUUGGGCUUUCGCCUCUGGGCGGGCCUCAAAGUCAGUGGCGGUGCUGCCAGGCUCUAAGCGUAGUAAUUCUUCUCGCUACAGGGUCCUGGUGGAGGCUUGCCAACAACCCCAAAUAUUUCAAAGGUUGACCUCGGAUCAGGUAGGGAUACCCGCUGAACUUAAGCAUAUCAAUAAGCGGAGGCU